GUGAUUGUAGCCAAGUGGUUAAGGCAUCGGAUUGUGACUCCGACAUCGCGAGUUCGAUUCUCGUCAAUCACCCCA
Molecule: transfer RNA, 75 nt
Filed under: Caudoviricetes sp.
Lineage: Duplodnaviria; Heunggongvirae; Uroviricota; Caudoviricetes
Description: tRNA-His
Rfam family: tRNA
About the family: Transfer RNA (tRNA) molecules are approximately 80 nucleotides in length. Their secondary structure includes four short double-helical elements and three loops (D, anti-codon, and T loops).
Source: RNAcentral